AGAGUUUGAUCCUGGCUCAGGACGAACGCUGGCGGCGUGCCUAACACAUGCAAGUCGACGGGCGGAGGAGCUUCGGCUCCCGAGCUAGUGGCGGACGGGUGAGUAACGCGUGAGGAACCUGCCUUUCAGAGGGGGACAACAGUUGGAAACGACUGCUAAUACCGCAUAACAUGUGCGGAUCGCAUGAUCUGCACAUCAAAGAUUUAUCGCUGAAAGAUGGCCUCGCGUCUGAUUAGAUAGUUGGUGGGGUAACGGCCCACCAAGUCGACGAUCAGUAGCCGGACUGAGAGGUUGAACGGCCACAUUGGGACUGAGAUACGGCCCAGACUCCUACGGGAGGCAGCAGUGGGGAAUAUUGGGCAAUGGGGGCAACCCCGACCCAGCAACGCCGCGUGAAGGAAGAAGGCUUUCGGGUUGUAAACUUCUUUUACCAGGGACGAAGGACGUGACGGUACCUGGAGAAAAAGCCACGGCUAACUACGUGCCAGCAGCCGCGGU
RNAcentral lists this ribosomal RNA (498 nucleotides) under uncultured bacterium. RNAcentral describes it as "bacterial SSU rRNA". It matches the Rfam family "Bacterial small subunit ribosomal RNA", at positions 8 to 521 of the family's 1533-position model. The record is from RNAcentral.